RNAcentral lists this ribosomal RNA (301 nucleotides) under uncultured bacterium. RNAcentral describes it as "partial 16S ribosomal RNA". It matches the Rfam family "Bacterial small subunit ribosomal RNA", at positions 509 to 809 of the family's 1533-position model. The record is from RNAcentral.
CAGCCGCCGCGGUAAUACCGAGGGUGCAAGCGUUAAUCGGAAUUACUGGGCGUAAAGCGUGCGCAGGCGGUUAUAUAAGUCAGAUGUGAAAUCCCCGGGCUCAACCUGGGAACUGCAUUUGAGACUGUAUGGCUAGAGUGUGUCAGAGGGAGGUAGAAUUCCACGUGUAGCAGUGAAAUGCGUAGAUAUGUGGAGGAAUACCGAUGGCGAAGGCAGCCCCCUGGGAUAACACUGACGCUCAUGCACGAAAGCGUGGGGAGCAAACAGGAUUAGAUACCCCUGUAGUCCCUGUCUCUUAUAA